AUACGUAGAUGGCGAGCGUUAUCCGGAAUGACUGGGCGUAAAGGGUGCGUAGGCGGUUUUAUAAGUCAGAUGUGAAAAUCCCGAGCUUAACUUGGGAACUGCAUUUGAAACUAUAUGACUUGAGUGCAGGAGAGGAAAGCGGAAUUCCUAGUGUAGCGGUGAAAUGCGUAGAUAUUAGGAGGAACACCAGUGGCGAAGGCGGCUUUCUGGACUGUAACUGACGCUGAGGCACGAAAGCAUGGGGAGCGAACAGGAUUAGAUACCCUGGUAGUCCAUGCCGUAAACGAUGAAUGCUAGGUGUAGGGUGUCAAAGCUCUGUGCCGCAGUAAACACAAUAAGCAUUCCGCCUGGGGAGUACGGCCGCAAGGUUGA
This 372-nucleotide ribosomal RNA is filed under the name uncultured bacterium. RNAcentral's name for it is "bacterial SSU rRNA". It matches the Rfam family "Bacterial small subunit ribosomal RNA", at positions 523 to 897 of the family's 1533-position model. The record is from RNAcentral.